This is a non-coding RNA of Salvelinus sp. IW2-2015, 204 nucleotides long. The record is from RefSeq and is a predicted model, not a curated record. NCBI's taxonomy places the organism in Eukaryota, Metazoa, Chordata, Actinopteri, Salmoniformes, Salmonidae.
UUCUGAAUCUGUGUGCUGUUCGUUCGAGUGCAAGGCUCCCCUGGGAUCUCAAGGCCCUGCUGGUGCAGGAGGGGGCGCGGACCGUAUUCCAUGGGUGCAGCGUUAUGGAACAUUGAGAUAGAAAUACAGUGGGCAAAAACCGCCCGGGCAACGAAGGAGUGGCUUCGUAAGAAGCAUUUCAAGGUCCUGGAGUGGCCUAGCCAG